UUCUUCAACAGUUAAAAUGCUCUUUUUCAGAAUCUGCAGACAAGUGUGGGCCUCCUCCACCAAUUAACUAUGGAGCCAUCACCUCCAUCCCAUCGGAAGGGUACCCUCCUUGGUCAAGAGUGGAAUACCAAUGCCAGGACUACUAUGAACUCCGGGGUCCUCAAUAUGUAACCUGUAGUUCUGCAAAGUGGUCCAAACCCCCAAGAUGCAUAGUUCCAUGUGUAAUAUCAGAAAAAAUCAUGAAUGCAAAGAACAUACAGAUAAAACGGAAAAAUGACAAAACCUAUUAUG
Myotis davidii is the source of this 291-nucleotide long non-coding RNA. RefSeq lists it as uncharacterized. The record is from RefSeq and is a predicted model, not a curated record. NCBI's taxonomy places the organism in Eukaryota, Metazoa, Chordata, Mammalia, Chiroptera, Vespertilionidae. The transcript is spliced from 2 exons.